GCUCACUUCCAUAGCACAUGAUUGGAACAAUACAGAGAAGACUGGCCCCAGAACAAGGAUGACACACAAAUUCAUGAACCAUUCCAGAUUUUU
This 93-nucleotide small nuclear RNA is filed under the name Canis lupus familiaris (dog). Lineage: Eukaryota; Metazoa; Chordata; Mammalia; Carnivora; Canidae. The record is from RNAcentral.